This 304-nucleotide long non-coding RNA is filed under the name Chinchilla lanigera (long-tailed chinchilla). RNAcentral's name for it is "lncRNA (ENSCLAG00000024413.1)". Lineage: Eukaryota; Metazoa; Chordata; Mammalia; Rodentia; Chinchillidae. The record is from RNAcentral.
GAGGAAGGUCAGCGCCUCGGAGUGGGGCCGCUGGGAGGUGCUUAGGCCAUGAGGACUCCGACCUGGUCUCGGCUCUGCGUCCGCUGCAGCGUAAGCGGCGAUCCACCUCACCGUCUGGUGGGUCCGGUGCGCAGCACAGGCUCACAGCCAGCACGGAGAUCAGAACCGCGGGGAUAAAUCUGACACCCGAAGUAAAUUUCUACCCCAGAUCCCUAAGUCCGAAGUCUUGGAAUUCAAAACCAUAGCUGAUAAAAUCACUCAAGUACAAUAAUAUUUGUAUAAGCCGAACAUUAAAAUGUAAAAU